CACGUAGGGGCGAGCGUUGUCCGGAAUUACUGGGCGUAAAGGGCGCGCAGGCUGUUAUGCGAGUCUGCUGUGAAAUGUACCGGCUCAACCGGUGCCUUGCGGCGGAUACUGCAUAGCUGGAGUACUGGAGAGGGAAGUGGAAUUCCCGGUGUAGCGGUGAAAUGCGUAGAUAUCGGUAGGAACACCGGUGGCGAAGGCGGCUUUCUGGCCAGUUACUGACGCUCAUGCGCGAAAGCUGGGGUAGCGAACCGGAUUAGAUACCCCGGUA
This 268-nucleotide ribosomal RNA is filed under the name uncultured prokaryote. RNAcentral's name for it is "partial 16S ribosomal RNA". It matches the Rfam family "Bacterial small subunit ribosomal RNA", at positions 524 to 792 of the family's 1533-position model. The record is from RNAcentral.